RNAcentral lists this ribosomal RNA (2688 nucleotides) under Klebsiella pneumoniae. RNAcentral describes it as "bacterial LSU rRNA". It matches the Rfam family "Bacterial large subunit ribosomal RNA". Lineage: Bacteria; Pseudomonadati; Pseudomonadota; Gammaproteobacteria; Enterobacterales; Enterobacteriaceae. The record is from RNAcentral.
CGUUAUAGCCGGCGAUGUCCGAAUGGGGAAACCCAGUGUGAUUCGUCACACUAUCGUUAACUGAAUACAUAGGUUAACGAGGCGAACCGGGGGAACUGAAACAUCUAAGUACCCCGAGGAAAAGAAAUCAACCGAGAUUCCCCCAGUAGCGGCGAGCGAACGGGGAGCAGCCCAGAGUCUGAAUCAGCUUGUGUGUUAGUGGAACGGUCUGGAAAGUCCGACGGUACAGGGUGAUAGUCCCGUACACCAAAAUGCACAGGCUGUGAACUCGAAGAGUAGGGCGGGACACGUGGUAUCCUGUCUGAAUAUGGGGGGACCAUCCUCCAAGGCUAAAUACUCCUGACUGACCGAUAGUGAACCAGUACCGUGAGGGAAAGGCGAAAAGAACCCCGGCGAGGGGAGUGAAAAAGAACCUGAAACCGUGUACGUACAAGCAGUGGGAGCACCUUCGGGUGUGACUGCGUACCUUUUGUAUAAUGGGUCAGCGACUUAUAUUCUGUAGCAAGGUUAACCGUAUAGGGGAGCCGCAGGGAAACCGAGUCUUAACUGGGCGUUAAGUUGCAGGGUAUAGACCCGAAACCCGGUGAUCUAGCCAUGGGCAGGUUGAAGGUUGGGUAACACUAACUGGAGGACCGAACCGACUAAUGUUGAAAAAUUAGCGGAUGACUUGUGGCUGGGGGUGAAAGGCCAAUCAAACCGGGAGAUAGCUGGUUCUCCCCGAAAGCUAUUUAGGUAGCGCCUCGUGAACUCAUCUUCGGGGGUAGAGCACUGUUUCGGCUAGGGGGUCAUCCCGACUUACCAACCCGAUGCAAACUACGAAUACCGAAGAAUGUUAUCACGGGAGACACACGGCGGGUGCUAACGUCCGUCGUGAAGAGGGAAACAACCCAGACCGCCAGCUAAGGUCCCAAAGUCAUGGUUAAGUGGGAAACGAUGUGGGAAGGCACAGACAGCCAGGAUGUUGGCUUAGAAGCAGCCAUCAUUUAAAGAAAGCGUAAUAGCUCACUGGUCGAGUCGGCCUGCGCGGAAGAUGUAACGGGGCUAAACCAUGCACCGAAGCUGCGGCAGCGACACUAUGUGUUGUUGGGUAGGGGAGCGUUCUGUAAGCCUGCGAAGGUGUGCUGUGAGGCAUGCUGGAGGUAUCAGAAGUGCGAAUGCUGACAUAAGUAACGAUAAAGCGGGUGAAAAGCCCGCUCGCCGGAAGACCAAGGGUUCCUGUCCAACGUUAAUCGGGGCAGGGUGAGUCGACCCCUAAGGCGAGGCCGAAAGGCGUAGUCGAUGGGAAACAGGUUAAUAUUCCUGUACUUGGUGUUACUGCGAAGGGGGGACGGAGAAGGCUAUGUUAGCCGGGCGACGGUUGUCCCGGUUUAAGCAUGUAGGCUGGUUGUCCAGGCAAAUCCGGAUAAUCAAGGCUGAGGUGUGAUGACGAGGCACUACGGUGCUGAAGUAACAAAUGCCCUGCUUCCAGGAAAAGCCUCUAAGCAUCAGGUAACAUCAAAUCGUACCCCAAACCGACACAGGUGGUCAGGUAGAGAAUACCAAGGCGCUUGAGAGAACUCGGGUGAAGGAACUAGGCAAAAUGGUGCCGUAACUUCGGGAGAAGGCACGCUGGUGUGUAGGUGAAGUCCCUGCGGAUGGAGCUGAGACCAGUCGAAGAUACCAGCUGGCUGCAACUGUUUAUUAAAAACACAGCACUGUGCAAACACGAAAGUGGACGUAUACGGUGUGACGCCUGCCCGGUGCCGGAAGGUUAAUUGAUGGGGUUAUCCGUAAGGAGAAGCUCUUGAUCGAAGCCCCGGUAAACGGCGGCCGUAACUAUAACGGUCCUAAGGUAGCGAAAUUCCUUGUCGGGUAAGUUCCGACCUGCACGAAUGGCGUAAUGAUGGCCAGGCUGUCUCCACCCGAGACUCAGUGAAAUUGAACUCGCUGUGAAGAUGCAGUGUACCCGCGGCAAGACGGAAAGACCCCGUGAACCUUUACUAUAGCUUGACACUGAACAUUGAGCCUUGAUGUGUAGGAUAGGUGGGAGGCUUUGAAGCGUGGACGCCAGUCUGCGUGGAGCCAACCUUGAAAUACCACCCUUUAAUGUUUGAUGUUCUAACGUUGGCCCCUUACCGGGGUUGCGGACAGUGUCUGGUGGGUAGUUUGACUGGGGCGGUCUCCUCCCAAAGCGUAACGGAGGAGCACGAAGGUUAGCUAAUCCUGGUCGGACAUCAGGAGGUUAGUGCAAUGGCAUAAGCUAGCUUGACUGCGAGCGUGACGGCGCGAGCAGGUGCGAAAGCAGGUCAUAGUGAUCCGGUGGUUCUGAAUGGAAGGGCCAUCGCUCAACGGAUAAAAGGUACUCCGGGGAUAACAGGCUGAUACCGCCCAAGAGUUCAUAUCGACGGCGGUGUUUGGCACCUCGAUGUCGGCUCAUCACAUCCUGGGGCUGAAGUAGGUCCCAAGGGUAUGGCUGUUCGCCAUUUAAAGUGGUACGCGAGCUGGGUUUAGAACGUCGUGAGACAGUUCGGUCCCUAUCUGCCGUGGGCGCUGGAGAAUUGAGGGGGGCUGCUCCUAGUACGAGAGGACCGGAGUGGACGCAUCACUGGUGUUCGGGUUGUCAUGCCAAUGGCACUGCCCGGUAGCUAAAUGCGGAAGAGAUAAGUGCUGAAAGCAUCUAAGCACGAAACUUGCCCCGAGAUGAGUUCU